Molecule: ribosomal RNA, 269 nt
Filed under: uncultured prokaryote
Description: partial 16S ribosomal RNA
Rfam family: Bacterial small subunit ribosomal RNA
Source: RNAcentral
UACGGAGGAUCCGAGCGUUAUCCGGAUUUAUUGGGUUUAAAGGGUGCGCAGGCGGGAGAUUAAGUCGGCGGUGAAAUUUUGCAGCUCAACUGUAAAAGUGCCUUCGAAACUGGUUUCCUUGAGUGUAGAUGAAGUAGGCGGAAUUUGUGGUGUAGCGGUGAAAUGCAUAGAUAUCACGAGGAACUCCGAUUGCGCAGGCAGCUUACUAAACUACUACUGACGCUCAGGCACGAAGGCGUGGGGAUCAAACAGGAUUAGAUACCCGCGUA